Molecule: ribosomal RNA, 491 nt
Filed under: uncultured bacterium
Lineage: Bacteria
Description: partial 16S ribosomal RNA
Rfam family: Bacterial small subunit ribosomal RNA
Source: RNAcentral
AGUGAACGCUGGCGGUAGGCCUAACACAUGCAAGUCGAACGGCAGCACAGUAAGAGCUUGCUCUUACGGGUGGCGAGUGGCGGACGGGUGAGGAAUACAUCGGAAUCUACUUUUUCGUGGGGGAUAACGUAGGGAAACUUACGCUAAUACCGCAUACGACCUACGGGUGAAAGCAGGGGAUCUUCGGACCUUGCGCGAUUGAAUGAGCCGAUGUCGGGUUAGCUAGUUGGCGGGGUAAAGGCCCACCAAGGCGACGAUCCGUAGCUGGUCUGAGAGGAUGAUCAGCCACACUGGAACUGAGACACGGUCCAGACUCCUACGGGAGGCAGCAGUGGGGAAUAUUGGACAAUGGGCGCAAGCCUGAUCCAGCCAUACCGCGUGGGUGAAGAAGGCCUUCGGGUUGUAAAGCCCUUUUGUUGGGAAAGAAAAGCAGCAGGUUAAUACCCCGCUGUUCUGACGGUACCCAAAGAAUAAGCACCGGCUAACUUCGU